AGAUCCCGCGCGCGGGCGCGCAAUCUGCUCCAGGCUCCGGGGAAACUUUGGGGCUGCUGGUUGGCAACAGUGGACUAAUGUCCUCAGCACGAAGGCUGCCGGCUGCAAGAGGAGAAGGGACCCCAACCCCGAUGGCACCUCCUGCUAGCCCAAGGGCCAAGAGAUCCGAUUCCUGCACCUUUAUUUCCAGCUUUGACCAAGCCAUGCAGGAUGUGGCAUUCUCACCAACAUACAAGGUUUCAGUAAGAUGGUCUGUAAUAGCCCUGCUGCCUCAGAGUGUGUAAAGCAAACUAUCAUUGUCAGCAUAUAGUUAUAUACUGAUGAGUCCAACCUUCAAAGGCUAGAGAUUUUUCUUCACUAAAUCUAUGGGAACAAGAUUUUCUUACUCAACUGCAGAAGCUUCAUAACAUUCUGUUUAUGUCUGAGUCUGGUCUUUGAAAACUGAAAAGCAAACAUUCUCUAUUUUGUUUUUAUUUGCAUUUGUCUGUGCCAUGUGUCCCCUGAAGUAAGUCAUACAAUGUACAAGAAUAAAAAUAAAUUUAAGCCAAAAGAAGAAAUGACAUAAGAUGCUAUCUAGCAUGUUUGUGUCCUGAUUGUUAGUGGCCACAUAGAUAUUUGUGUCUCCUUUACUUUUGUUAUUGUGAAAAGCUACAAUAAAUAUUAUUGUUCAUAAAGCUUAAGAUCUAUGUUUGAAUAUGACAAUGAAAACCUUAUCAUGGGAAUUCCUGGGACAAAAGGUGUGUUUUCAAUGUUGAUGAUGUCAUCACUUUCCCCUCUACAACAAAUAAACUGAAACCCAUCUUCCAUAGGG
RNAcentral lists this long non-coding RNA (811 nucleotides) under Mus pahari (shrew mouse). RNAcentral describes it as "lncRNA (MGP_PahariEiJ_G0006371.1)". The record is from RNAcentral. Lineage: Eukaryota; Metazoa; Chordata; Mammalia; Rodentia; Muridae.